Molecule: ribosomal RNA, 941 nt
Filed under: uncultured archaeon
Lineage: Archaea
Description: bacterial SSU rRNA
Rfam family: Archaeal small subunit ribosomal RNA
Source: RNAcentral
UUCCGGUUGAUCCUGCCGGAUCUACUGCUGUCGGGAUGAGACUAAGCCAUGCAAGUCAAGCGUUUCCUAGCUAUGUGGAAAUGCGGGCGUACGGCUCCGUAACACGUAGUUAACCUGCCUUAGGAUGGGGAUAACCCCGGGAAACUGGGGCUAAUACUAAUAGGUGAGAACACUGGAAUGGUUUCUCGUUGAAAAGACGUUAAGAACAUGCUCUUAAUGUUGCCUAAGGAUGGGACUGCGCCCGAUCAGGUUGUUGGUGGGGUAAUGGCCUACCAAGCCUAUAACCGGUACGGGCCCUGAGAGGGGUAGCCCGGAGAUGGGAACUGAGACAAGGUCCCAGGCCCUACGGGGCGCAGCAGGCGCGAAACCUCCACAAUACACGAAUGUGUGAUGGGGUUAUCCCGAGUGCUAUCCGCUGAGGAUGGCUUUUCUUCAGUGUAAGUAGCUGGAGGAAUAAGAGGGGGGCAAGACUGGUGUCAGCCGCCGCGGUAAUACCAGCCCCUCGAGUGGUAGGGACGAUUAUUUAGCCUAAAGCGUUCGUAGCCGGCUUAGCAAGUCCCUCGUGAAAUCCGAUGACUUAAUCGUCGGGCGUGCGAAGGAUACUGUUAAGCUUGGGGACGGGAGAAGUCGACGGUAGUCCCGGUGUAGGGGUGAAAUCCUAUAAUCCCGGGAGGACCACCAGUGGCGAAGGCGGUCGACUAGAACGCGCCCGACGGUGAUGGACGAAAGCUGGGGGAGCGAACCGGAUUAGAUACCCGGGUAGUCCCAGCUGUAAACGAUGCGGGCUAGGUGUUGGGGCAGCCACGAGCUGCUCCAGUGCCGCAGAGAAGUUGUUAAGCCCGCCGCCUGGGGAGUACGGCCGCAAGGCUGAAACUUAAAGGAAUUGGCGGGGGAGCACCACAAGGGGUGAAGGCUGCGGUUUAAUUGGAGUCAACGCCGGA